UUGUAACGAUCAGUAUCCCGAUCGUUACUAUAAGAUUCAUUUCUGUAACUAUUAAGUAUGCAACCCGGUAUACGUUCACUCGCAUAGAGUGUAAUCUAAACUUGAGCCCAUUAUAAUUAUUUUGGUUGGUAGUAUGGUUAGUGAAUUUUACAUUUAUUCGUUGGCUCAUGGGUAAAUGACAAUUUCCGCCUGUUGACAGGACGGAAAGAAAGUGAAAGUUGAUGGUUACUUGAUCUUCGGUAGCCGUCUGCAAAUGAUGUGAUUUUCCAGCGACCGGUGUCUAGCCAUUUUAUUUUAUUUAGAAAAUAAUUAUUUAGUUGAAAAGGAAUGCAUUUAAGUUGGAAAGAAGUUUAUUUUAUGGUAUAAAUUAUGGUGAGAGUGCUGUUUUAGUUCCAAUAUCGGAGGAUUCUGGACAUUGGUCGCUGGAGAAUAGAAGAUUUAGUCAACAGAAAUAAGAAUAAUUUUUGGGAAAGAGUGGGAAAUUUUGGGACAUAUUUGGAAGUUUUGAUUUUAUUGGAAUCUUGGUUUUUAUGGAAUUUAUUUUUUGGAAUUCGCCGAUACUGAGAGGUAUCUCCAGUUGGUAACAAGGAUACAUCUCCCUCCUAGGUUGAGGAACACCGCAAGCUACCUUCCUUGGGCCUCUGAUCAUUCCCUGGAAAGAGUUGGAGAACCCAUGGUCACUUGGUAGACCGGACAGGUUUUUAUAAGUCAAUUUGAUUGUAAUUUGUUUUAAUAAUAUUUGCACUUUUACCUAUUUUUUUUUGUAUCAAUAACUUAAUAAUCCUAAUAAUAGUAUACCUUCAUUUUCUUAAACAUAAUUAAACUAAACAAUAAUUUUUCAAAAAUUUUAUAUUUCAAGGUUAGCUCAUUUAUUUUAAAAUAGUGGGGGGGAUUAUAAACUAUCUGUAAAGAUAGUGUGCACAUUAUCUCAGUUUGAAUCCUUAUCGAAACUUUGAUUUCAUUGUCAGGUAUUAUACUUACGUUUAUCACCUCCGAACAGAUACGAUAUUGUCAGCCAAUAUUGGCUUCUUCAUUAACAACAAAUUUGUACAUACAUUUUUACAUUAAUUAACUUUCAUAUAUAAACCAUUCUUUUCAUAUUUUUCACAUAUUGUAAAAACCUGUGUUAUCAACAGGAGUGUCAUAGCUUAGUACGUCCGGUUUAGCUAGUGUAUAAAAAUUGUAUAUAGGGGUUAUAGGUUUGUUUCAUUAAAUUUGUUAGUUGUACCUAAA
Long non-coding RNA from Diabrotica virgifera virgifera (western corn rootworm), 1233 nucleotides. RefSeq lists it as uncharacterized. The record is from RefSeq and is a predicted model, not a curated record. NCBI's taxonomy places the organism in Eukaryota, Metazoa, Arthropoda, Insecta, Coleoptera, Chrysomelidae. The transcript has 2 exons.